This is a long non-coding RNA of Chiloscyllium plagiosum (whitespotted bambooshark), 945 nucleotides long. RefSeq lists it as uncharacterized. The record is from RefSeq and is a predicted model, not a curated record. Lineage: Eukaryota; Metazoa; Chordata; Chondrichthyes; Orectolobiformes; Hemiscylliidae.
UCAUUUCAUAGUACUUCACUCAAUUUCAAUCCCUUCAAACAAUGUGCGAUGUAAUCAUCUUUGACUAAGAAUCGAAAGCUGAAGUAUAAGGACUACUCCCAGUUCAAAGAGUCUGAAUUGUCAGAGUUUAAUCACUGGUCAAUCCAUUUGAACAAGGGACACUGCAGAUGCUGGGACUGACUCAGGUCACAUUGUUGUCUGUUUAGCUCAGAUCUGGAAUGCACUGAGGCGGAGGUACAUCUGACUUGGAAAGAAUAUUAUCCUGCAAUGCACCUGGCUGGUUUCUGCAAGUGACCAAUCAUAGGGGAACUGAGGAUGAGAUGUCAACAUCUACCUGCUCACCUACCUUCUGGACUUUUGUGGUACAGUGGUAAUGUCCGUAACUCUGAGCCAGAAGACCUGACUUCAAGUCGCACCUGCUCCAAAAGUGUGUCAUAACAUCUCUAAACAGGCUAAUGAAGAAAUAUCUAACCCAACGGCACUGAUUCAUGACUUCAUCUUCUCUGCGCCUCCAGUCGCUGCUGUUCGACAUCGUCCCCAGGAUCCUGGCAAUGUGCUCCUUUCCUGCCGCCAUCACUUCCGCAGCCACCUCUGAGCUGGGGAUGGUCACCCUGGCUCAUCUUCCAAUGUACCAGUCAAGAUGGAGCAGGGAUGGGGAUACAUGGGGACCCAGGCCUCCCAAGGGAGGAGGCCCCAGGGUGAACAAAACAAAAAACAUUACCGAGCUAGAAAGCCAACCAUAACACUGUGUGGAUGUGGCAGCAUUUAUUGCAUGAGCCAUGAGCAGCCUAUCCCCGAGCUCAGGAGCAAUAAGCUACUGAUCCCACCACCACCAUCUUGACAAUUAGCCGUAACAUUAUAUUCUGCAUUCUGUUCUAUUACCCUGGUGUACUUAUGUAAGGCAUCAUUUGUCUGCAUAACUAGCAAAAUAGUAUCUUGAUACAU